GUACUGCGGAGACAUUA
Molecule: ribosomal RNA, 17 nt
Filed under: Aspergillus ruber
Lineage: Eukaryota; Fungi; Ascomycota; Eurotiomycetes; Eurotiales; Aspergillaceae
Description: partial 18S ribosomal RNA
Source: RNAcentral